RNAcentral lists this ribosomal RNA (253 nucleotides) under uncultured bacterium. RNAcentral describes it as "partial 16S ribosomal RNA". It matches the Rfam family "Bacterial small subunit ribosomal RNA", at positions 524 to 776 of the family's 1533-position model. The record is from RNAcentral.
UACGUAGGGUGCAAGCGUUAAUCGGAAUUACUGGGCGUAAAGCGUGCGAAGGCGGUUUUGUAAGUCUGUCGUGAAAGCCCCGGGCUCAACCGGGGAAUUGCGAUGGAGACUGCAAGGCUUGAAUCUGGCAGAGGGGGGUAGAAUUCCACGUGUAGCAGUGAAAUGCGUAGAGAUGUGGAGGAACACCGAUGGCGAAGGCAGCCCCCUGGGUCAAGAUUGACGCUGAUGCACGAAAGCGUGGGGAGCAAACAGG